AUUCCAUGAUGAGGACAGACGGCCACGUAUUCCUGCAAAUGUUCCCAUGCUUCCGGAAUGGACUCAUCCCGCAUCUGCUAGAAGCCCGAAAUUCACCCACGAAGGGC
This 107-nucleotide small nucleolar RNA is filed under the name Oryza meridionalis. RNAcentral describes it as "Plant small nucleolar RNA R71". It matches the Rfam family "Plant small nucleolar RNA R71". From Rfam's summary of the family: R71 is a member of the C/D box family of snoRNAs containing the C (UGAUGA) and D (CUGA) box motifs. Multiple nearly identical copies of this snoRNA have been identified in Arabidopsis, and it is thought to function as a 2'-O-ribose methylation guide for 18S ribosomal RNA. Lineage: Eukaryota; Viridiplantae; Streptophyta; Magnoliopsida; Poales; Poaceae. The record is from Rfam by way of RNAcentral.